GACGAACGCUGGCGGCGUGCUUAACACAUGCAAGUCGAACGGGAUCCGGGCUUUCGGGUUUGGUGAGAGUGGCGAACGGGUGAGUAACACGUGAGUAACCUGCCCCCUUCUUUGGGAUAACGUCGGGAAAUCGGCGCUAAUACUGGAUAUUCUUGCUGCAUCGCAUGGUGUGGUUUGGAAAGGGUUUCUGGUGGGGGAUGGGCUCGCGGCCUAUCAGCUUGUUGGUGGGGUGAUGGCCUACCAAGGCUUUGACGGGUAGCCGGCCUGAGAGGGUGUCCGGGCACACUGGGACUGGGACACGGCCCAGACUCCUACGGGAGGCAGCAGUGGGGAAUAAUGCACAAUGGGCGCAAGCCUGAUGCAGCGACGCCGCGUGAGGGAUGACGGCCUUCGGGUUGUAAACCUCUUUCAGUAUGGAACAAGGAUCCUUCUUUUGGGGGGUUUGAGGGUACGUGCAGAAGAAGCGCCGGCUAACUACGUG
This 481-nucleotide ribosomal RNA is filed under the name uncultured bacterium. RNAcentral's name for it is "partial 16S ribosomal RNA". It matches the Rfam family "Bacterial small subunit ribosomal RNA", at positions 28 to 507 of the family's 1533-position model. The record is from RNAcentral.